RNAcentral lists this unclassified non-coding RNA (296 nucleotides) under uncultured fungus. RNAcentral describes it as "partial contains 5.8S ribosomal RNA, internal transcribed spacer 2, and large subunit ribosomal RNA". The stretch from base 1 to 52 matches the Rfam family "5.8S ribosomal RNA", at positions 103 to 154 of the family's 154-position model. Lineage: Eukaryota; Fungi. RNAcentral also lists the same sequence under 1 other name. The record is from RNAcentral.
AACGCACCUUGCGCUCGUUGGUAUUCCGACGAGCAUGCCUGUUUGAGUGUCAUUAAAUUCUCAACCUCACCAGUUUUGUUAUGAGACUGUGUAAGGCUUGGAUGUGGGGGUUUGUGCAGGCUGCCUCAGCGCGGUCUGCUCCCCUGAAAUGCAUUAGCGAGUUCAAACUGAGCUCCGUCUAUUGGUGUGAUAAUUAUCUACGCCGUGGAUGGUUCUUAGACUUGCUUCUAACCGUCCGCAAGGACAACUCUUGACAAUUUGACCUCAAAUCAGGUAGGACUACCCGCUGAACUUAA